UUUGGUGGCUUAGCGGUGUGGAACCACCUCUUCCCAUUCCGAACAGAGAAGUUAAACACACCAGCGCUGAUGAUACUUGGACCCAAUCCGGUCCUGGGAAAGUAGGCCGCCGCCAGUA
This 118-nucleotide ribosomal RNA is filed under the name Candidatus Giovannonibacteria bacterium RIFCSPLOWO2_02_44_8. RNAcentral also lists the same sequence under 6 other names. Lineage: Bacteria; Candidatus Giovannoniibacteriota. The record is from RNAcentral.